Molecule: transfer RNA, 86 nt
Filed under: Candidatus Micrarchaeota archaeon RBG_16_49_10
Lineage: Archaea; Nanobdellati; Microcaldota
Description: tRNA-Ser
Rfam family: tRNA
About the family: Transfer RNA (tRNA) molecules are approximately 80 nucleotides in length. Their secondary structure includes four short double-helical elements and three loops (D, anti-codon, and T loops). Further hydrogen bonds mediate the characteristic L-shaped molecular structure. tRNAs have two regions of fundamental functional importance: the anti-codon, which is responsible for specific mRNA codon recognition, and the 3' end, to which the tRNAs corresponding amino acid is attached (by aminoacyl-tRNA synthetases). tRNAs cope with the degeneracy of the genetic code in two manners: having more than one tRNA (with a specific anti-codon) for a particular amino acid; and 'wobble' base-pairing, i.e. permitting non-standard base-pairing at the 3rd anti-codon position.
Source: RNAcentral
GCCAGGAUGGCAGAACUUGGUAAAUGCGCAGCCCUGGAAAGGCUGUGUCCUUCGUGGGCGUAAGGGUUCAAAUCCCUUUCCUGGCG